AGCGAACGCUGGCGGCAGGCCUAAUACAUGCAAGUCGAACGGCUCUUCGGAGCAGUGGCGGACGGGUGAGUAACGCGUGGGAAUGUGCCCUUUGGUACGGAACAACACAGGGAAACUUGUGCUAAUACCGUAUGUGCCCUUCGGGGGAAAGAUUUAUCGCCAUUGGAGCAGCCCGCGUUGGAUUAGGUAGUUGGUGAGGUAAAGGCUCACCAAGCCUACGAUCCAUAGCUGGUCUGAGAGGAUGACCAGCCACACUGGGACUGAGACACGGCCCAGACUCCUACGGGAGGCAGCAGUAGGGAAUCUUGCGCAAUGGGCGAAAGCCUGACGCAGCCAUGCCGCGUGUAUGAUGAAGGUCUUAGGAUUGUAAAGCCCUGUCGCAGGGGAAGAAUAAGCAUCGGUAUAAUACGCCGGUGCCCUGACGGUACCCUGCAAGAAAGCACCGGCUAACUCCGUGCCAGCAGCCGCGGUAAU
RNAcentral lists this ribosomal RNA (474 nucleotides) under uncultured bacterium. RNAcentral's name for it is "bacterial SSU rRNA". It matches the Rfam family "Bacterial small subunit ribosomal RNA", at positions 29 to 524 of the family's 1533-position model. The record is from RNAcentral.